Molecule: ribosomal RNA, 497 nt
Filed under: uncultured bacterium
Lineage: Bacteria
Description: partial 16S ribosomal RNA
Rfam family: Bacterial small subunit ribosomal RNA
Source: RNAcentral
GAUGAACGCUGGCGGCGUGCCUAAUACAUGCAAGUCGAGCGAACAGACGAGGAGCUUGCUCCUCUGACGUUAGCGGCGGACGGGUGAGUAACACGUGGAUAACCUACCUAUAAGACUGGGAUAACUUCGGGAAACCGGAGCUAAUACCGGAUAACAUGUUGAACCGCAUGGUUCAACAGUGAAAGACGGUCUUGCUGUCACUUAUAGAUGGAUCCGCGCCGCAUUAGCUAGUUGGUAAGGUAACGGCUUACCAAGGCAACGAUGCGUAGCCGACCUGAGAGGGUGAUCGGCCACACUGGAACUAAGACACGGUCCAGACUCCUACGGGAGGCAGCAGUAGGGAAUAUUCCGCAAUGGGCGAAAGCCUGACGGAGCAACGCCGCGUGAGUGAAGAAGGUCUUCGGAUCGUAAAACUCUGUUAUUAGGGAAGAACAAAUGUGUAAGUAACUAUGCACGUCUUGACGGUACCUAAUCAGAAAGCCACGGCUAACUACGUG